Molecule: ribosomal RNA, 567 nt
Filed under: uncultured bacterium
Lineage: Bacteria
Description: bacterial SSU rRNA
Rfam family: Bacterial small subunit ribosomal RNA
Source: RNAcentral
AAUUUUUCGCAAUGGGGGCAACCCUGACGAAGCAAUGCCGCGUGAAUGAAGAAGGCCUUCGGGUUGUAAAGUUCUUUCGUGGGAGACGAAAAGGUGAUCGCUAAUAUCGGUUACUGUUGACGUGAACCCAAGAAGAAGCACCGGCUAACUCCGUGCCAGCAGCCGCGGUAAUACGGAGGGUGCGAGCGUUAAUCGGAAUUACUGGGCGUAAAGGGCGCGUAGGCGGUUGGUUACGUCUGCCGUGAAAUCCCCGGGCUCAACCUGGGAAUGGCGGUGGAAACGGGCUGACUAGAGUAUGGGAGAGGGUGAUGGAAUUCCAGGUGUAGCGGUGAAAUGCGUAGAGAUCUGGAGGAACAUCAGUGGCGAAGGCGGUCACCUGGCCCAAUACUGACGCUGAGGCGCGAAAGCGUGGGGAGCAAACAGGAUUAGAUACCCUGGUAGUCCACGCCCUAAACGAUGGAUACUAGAUGUUUGGUGCCUUAGGUGCUGAGUGUCGUAGCUAACGCGAUAAGUAUCCCGCCUGGGAAGUACGGCCGCAAGGUUAAAACUCAAAUGAAUUGACGGGGG